ACACACACAGGCAGAACACUCAUACACAUAAAAAUAUAAAAUAAAUAAGUAAAUAAAUUAGUUUUCCCAGGGUGAGACUCACCCACUGCACUUGGGAUGUGCUGACCCCUGCGAUUUCCCCAAAUGCAGGAAACUCGACUGCAUGAUUUGUGGUAGUGGGGGACUGCGUCCGCACUCUCCCCUA
RNAcentral lists this small nuclear RNA (184 nucleotides) under Nannospalax galili (Upper Galilee mountains blind mole rat). RNAcentral's name for it is "U1 spliceosomal RNA (ENSNGAG00000002583.1)". It matches the Rfam family "U1 spliceosomal RNA", at positions 21 to 166 of the family's 166-position model. From Rfam's summary of the family: U1 is a small nuclear RNA (snRNA) component of the spliceosome (involved in pre-mRNA splicing). Its 5' end forms complementary base pairs with the 5' splice junction, thus defining the 5' donor site of an intron. Lineage: Eukaryota; Metazoa; Chordata; Mammalia; Rodentia; Spalacidae. The record is from Rfam by way of RNAcentral.